Molecule: ribosomal RNA, 413 nt
Filed under: bacterium enrichment culture clone ALO1_GLFRUDD03GVTIM
Lineage: Bacteria
Description: bacterial SSU rRNA
Rfam family: Bacterial small subunit ribosomal RNA
Source: RNAcentral
GAGUUUGAUCGUGGCUCAGAUUGAACGCUGGCGGCAUGCCUUACACAUGCAAGUCGAACGGCAGCACGGGAGCUUGCUCCUGGUGGGCGAGUGGCGAACGGGUGAGUAAUGCAUCGGAACGUAUCCUGGAGUGGGGGAUAACGUAGCGAAAGUUACGCUAAUACCGCAUAUUCUGUGAGCAGGAAAGCGGGGGACCUUCGGGCCUCGCGCUCUUGGAGCGGCCGAUGUCGGAUUAGCUAGUUGGUGAGGUAAAGGCUCACCAAGGCGACGAUCCGUAGCAGGUCUGAGAGGAUGAUCUGCCACACUGGAACUGAGACACGGUCCAGACUCCUACGGGAGGCAGCAGUGGGAAUUUUGGACAAUGGGGGCAACCCUGAUCCAGCCAUGCCGCGUGAGUGAAGAAGGCCUCGGUU